CUUGGUCAUUUAGAGGAAGUAAAAGUCGUAACAAGGUUUCCGUAGGUGAACCUGCGGAAGGAUCAUUAUUGAAUACGAUUGGUGCUGUUGCUGGCUUCUUCACUGAGGCAUGUGCACGCCCGUCUAUUUAUCUUCUCUUGUGCACAUUUUGUAGUCUUGAAUUGAAACCUCUCGCAGCGAUGCGGUUUGGGGGACUGGUGCUUCACGGCGCCUUCUCCUGCUUCUUCAAGGCUACGUUUUCAUAUACACGUUAAAGUUACAGAAUGUCUUUUAACGAUUGUGCUCGUCACAGUCAUUAAACCUAUACAACUUUCAGCAACGGAUCUCUUGGCUCUCCCAUCGAUGAAGAACGCAGCGAAAUGCGAUAAGUAAUGUGAAUUGCAGAAUUCAGUGAAUCAUCGAAUCUUUGAACGCACAUUGCGCCCGCCAGUAUUCUGGCGGGCAUGCCUGUCCGAGCGUCAUUUCAACCCUCGAACCCCUCCGGGGGAUCGGCGUUGGGGAUACGGGACCCCUCACACGGGUGCCGGCCCCGAAAUACAGUGGCGGUCUCGCCGCAGCCUCUCCUGCGCAGUAGUUUGCACAACUCGCACCGGGAGCGCGGCGCGUCCACGUCCGUAAAACACCCAACUUUCUGAAAUGUUGACCUCGGAUCAGGUAGGAAUACCCGCUGAACUUAAGCAUAUCAAUAAGCGGAGGA
This 697-nucleotide ribosomal RNA is filed under the name Hypocreales sp. 1 RB-2011. Its description in RNAcentral is "eukaryotic LSU rRNA". The stretch from base 308 to 461 matches the Rfam family "5.8S ribosomal RNA". The record is from RNAcentral. Lineage: Eukaryota; Fungi; Ascomycota; Sordariomycetes; Hypocreales.